This 261-nucleotide unclassified non-coding RNA is filed under the name Hevea brasiliensis (rubber tree). The record is from RNAcentral. Lineage: Eukaryota; Viridiplantae; Streptophyta; Magnoliopsida; Malpighiales; Euphorbiaceae.
AGGGCCACCCAAGUGCAACAGAAGGAAUGGUGCCCAAAAUGCUGUGAGCUGAGUGUCUGCGUCCAGAUCAAUGCCCUUAGCCCCCUCCCUCUUGUUCUCAUAGACUUCUCCCAUGUUGUUUAAGAAAGCCCCAAGGACAACGGUUGCUACCCAAUCGGCCAUCAAAUAGGCCCACCAUAGGAGAACUCGAACCCAAAUCCUUCUCGAAAGUUUCCGCCGAUUUCCAAAAAGAAUUAAUAUUAUCUGCAAGACAAGGCUGAG